RNAcentral lists this long non-coding RNA (1053 nucleotides) under Scleropages formosus (Asian bonytongue). Its description in RNAcentral is "lncRNA (ENSSFOG00015027462.1)". Lineage: Eukaryota; Metazoa; Chordata; Actinopteri; Osteoglossiformes; Osteoglossidae. The record is from RNAcentral.
AUGGAACGUGUCAGCCUGACGACUGAGGGCCACCGCCAGCGCCUGCGCGGUCUGCGGUGGGACAAGUCGGCCCACCCCUUCCUCUUCACGCAGUGGGUCCUGGACUCCGCCCGGCGGUGGCUGCAGCUGGAGCGGCCAAGACCAGGAGCAGAUUGUGGAGCAGGUGGCACUGGAGCAGUUCAUGGCGGCCAUGCCGACUGCCACUGCGGACUGGCUCCAGUGCCACCGACCGGACAUGCUCACAGAUGCAAUCCGCCUGGCCGAAAAUCAUCUGGCAGCAAACCCCAACAAGCCCCUAGCGCCCAGACCCGCUGCCCAUGCCGGGCCUUCGCCCGACCCCAGCCGUCCAACCCCGUGUCUCGCGCGCACUUUCACUUCCCCAGCCCGCCCUUCCCCGACCGGGAAUCCGUCGUCGCGGCGGGGUUUCCCCCUUUCCCUUUAUCCCCUUCUUUUUCCUCUCCUCGGGGGACCCCCCCAUCGGCCGGAAUGCAGGGACCAGUGUGCUGGCGGUGCGGGGAUCUGAGACAUCUGCAGCAAGAUUGUCCCGUCAUGGACAUCGGCGCCGCGGAGGACGCCAGCGCAGCUGCUCCUGGUCCAGCUCCUCGAUACCAUGUUCCGGUAAGAUUCCGAGGGGGUAUCUGCUGGGCUUUGUUGGACUCGGGUUGUCAGCAGACCAUGGUUCACCAAAGCCUGGUACCACCGGGGGCAUGGCGUAAGCAGGGCACGGUGAAGGUGCGGUGUGUGCACGGGGAUAUCCACGUUCAUCCUGUCCCGAGUAUCAUGUUCCGAACGGGGGGCCGACGCUACCAAGUGCGGGCUGCGAUUGCGCCGCGAGCCCCGUUUCCGUUGAUUCUGGGCACUGAUUGGGUGGGGUUUGCCGAAGCCCUCAUGCGCGCAGCGGCGAACCAGGCCCGCGGGAGGGCGAGGCCCUCUGCCUCCCAACCACGCGACGACGCGCCGGCCCCCCCGACGCCCAUCGCCCGGCUCGCGGAGGUGACUUCCCCCUUGAACAGUCACGGGACGACACACUCCGCUAUGCGCGUGAGAAAGUAG